UUAAUGUUUGAUGUUCUAACGUGGACCCGUAAUCCGGGUUGCGGACAGUGUCUGGUGGGUAGUUUGACUGGGGCGGUCUCCUCCUAAAGAGUAACGGAGGAGUACGAAGGUGCGCUCAGACCGGUCGGAAAUCGGUCGUAGAGUAUAAAGGCAAAAGCGCGCUUGACUGCGAGACAGACACGUCGAGCAGGUACGAAAGUAGGUCUUAGUGAUCCGGUGGUUCUGUAUGGAAGGGCCAUCGCUCAACGGAUAAAAGGUACUCCGGGGAUAACAGGCUGAUACCGCCCAAGAGUUCAUAUCGACGGCGGUGUUUGGCACCUCGAUGUCGGCUCAUCACAUCCUGGGGCUGAAGUAG
This 355-nucleotide ribosomal RNA is filed under the name Nocardia farcinica. RNAcentral describes it as "partial 23S ribosomal RNA". It matches the Rfam family "Bacterial large subunit ribosomal RNA", at positions 2207 to 2561 of the family's 2925-position model. Lineage: Bacteria; Bacillati; Actinomycetota; Actinomycetes; Mycobacteriales; Nocardiaceae. The record is from RNAcentral.